UGCAUUCACUACUGUAAGUCGCUCUGGAUAAGACCGUCUGCUAAAUGAGAUAUU
This is a non-coding RNA of Salmo salar (Atlantic salmon), 54 nucleotides long. The record is from Rfam. Lineage: Eukaryota; Metazoa; Chordata; Actinopteri; Salmoniformes; Salmonidae.